RNAcentral lists this long non-coding RNA (3737 nucleotides) under Homo sapiens (human). RNAcentral's name for it is "HSALNT0107793". The record is from RNAcentral. Lineage: Eukaryota; Metazoa; Chordata; Mammalia; Primates; Hominidae.
CUCAAAUCUUAUAAAAUAGCCCCACCCCAUCUCCCUUCUCUGACUCUCUUUUCAGACUCAACCCGCCUGUGCCCAGGUGAUUAAAAAGUGUAUUGCUCACACAAAGUCUGUUUGGUGGUCUCUUCACACAGACGCGAGUGAAAGAAUAAUGGUCUCCAACUCAGUCCAGGUUGCUGUGAAUGCCAUUAUUUGAUUCGUUUUUAUAGGUUAAUACUAGAAUUUAUUAUUCAAAUGGAGGCUGCAUGUGUGACAGGAAUCCCUGUAUAUGAUUCCCUCUUUAAGAUUCUUCCAGAACAGAAACAGCAGUGUGGAUAUCUCUUUAACAUGAAGGAUGAUCCCAACAUAACUUCUGUAAUCUGAAGGCUUUUUGGAUAUCCUGCUCAGUAGCAUUCGACUCUUCUCCUUUUUAAAGAAUAAUGGAAAACCUUCAGGAAUUAACUAUUUCAUUUAUCUACCAUCAUUCCCAUAAAUUGAACAAUUGUUGAAAAAUCACUGCAUGGAAAAUAGGGAAUGUUCAUUAUUUUUUGUCAUGUUGUCUGCUAUCCUCUAUGAGAUAUUUGCACCAAAAUUUAAGGGUUUUUUUUUUUGUCAGAAUAGCAGAGUCAUAAAAAAUGUUUACAAAUGUAAAAAGAAAUAUCCUAAGGUCUUGAGCUUUGACUAUAAAAUACAAACUAGAAAAAGGUAAAUUUUCACAUGUGAAGUAACUAUUGUGAGGAACAAUUACCUGACAGUAUUAGUCACAGGUUAUUCAAGAAGAAAGUAUUUAAUAAGCAUGUUUGUGCUUCUUUAUGAUCAACACUUUGAAUAUGUGUGUAUGAGAAAAUGUUUAUACAGUGUGAAUUUAAUACCUUAUUCUAGCCUUCUGUUCUGAUCAUACUUAUAAGCAUUUGAAAUUCAAUGACAAAUUCAGCUAUUGUAUUUUCAAGUGUUUACUUCAUAUUCUGUCUAAACAACCAUAAAAAUAAUACAGUGAUUUGAGGGCUAAAUUAUUUGGAGUAACUCAAGAAGUAUAGAAAAAUGAAUAUCAAUAUAUCAAAGAGAAUAUUUAAAAAUAAAGCAUGCAAGGGUCCUGGGGCUGAAAAACAUAAAAAUAAAGCAAAAGUUAAACAUACUCACUGUAUUAGUCCAUUUUCACACUGCUAUAAAGAAACUACCUGAGAAUGGAUAAUUUAUAAACAAAAGAGGUUUAAUUGACUCACAGUUCUGCAUGGCUGGAGAGGCCUCAGGAAACCUACUAUUAUGGCAGAAGGCAAAGGGGAAGCAGGCACCUUCUUCACAAGACAGCAGGAGAGAGAGAGAGUACACAGGGGAAAACUGUCACUUUUAAAAACCAUCAAAUCUCAUAAGAACUCCCUCACUAUCAUGAGAAUAGAAUAGGGGAAACUGCCCUCAUGAUCUAAUCACCUCCCUCCAGGUCCCUCCCUCAACACGUGGGGAUUGCAAUUCAAGAUGAAAUUGGAGGGGGAACACAGAGCCAAACCAUAUCACUCACAAACUCUCAAAUUAAUUAAGGUAAAUUUUAUAAUGCACAACUUUCCAAGAUCAGGAAAAUCUUAUUUAUAUUAUAAAAAGAUAUUACCAAGAAGGCAAAGUAAGAGAAAUCAGUCUUCAUUCCUACACACACAUAAAAACAAAUUUAAACAGCUAUUUACAAAUUAAAAUAGCUCAGAGGGCUCAAAGGAGCAUGAAAGAAUCUGCAGAAACACAAUAGGAAAAUGAAAAAAGGAAAAGGAAAAGAAGAGAGAAGGAGCAUAUAGACAGAAUUCCUGGUGAAGAUUGGCAAACUUGAGAUGCCAAGAGAAAGCUAGGAGCAAAGAAGGGCAGAAGCCAGUGACAUCUACCACAUGCCAAGAACUACCCUAGUCCCAAUGGCCUGCUUCUUAGAGGACACUGGCAUCUCUUGCCAUCGGUUACCAACAGCCAUUCCUGCUGGGGAACCUUAGAGAGGGAGACAUGGCCCCACACCCGAUCCCUACCUAAGAAGUAGCAGCUGUCGAGCCACUUUGGAAAAGAAGCUUUCACCUCUCCUAAUUCUAUGCAUGCCAUGACUCUGGAGCUAGAACUGCUCAAAGAGUGCCCACACCCAGACCUAGUCUCUGUUGCUACUCUUAGGCACUGGAUCAGCUGACAUGGAGAGCUAACUACCACCCUAACCCCUGACCCACGGAAGCUAGCACAUGUCUACACUCAUAAUUAUUUUGGAGAGCUUUGUUCAUGCUUUGAUUUGUUUUUGUAUUUUUGUGUGUGUUGUAGAGAUUGGAGUCUUGCUGUGUUGCCCAGUCUGUAAUGCCAGCAGGCAGACAAGCCCCAAUAUUGAGGCUUAGCCCAGGAGGCUUCUGGGCUUCACCUAGAAGAAAAUUUGAGGGUGAGCUGAUGGUGUUAAACAACGAUCUUUUAUUGACUGGAACUGCUCCUUGUGGAGCAUUGCUAACUCACAGGGAGUGUGCUCAGAGCCACUUAUGACUGUUGGCAACUGUAUUUAUGGCCACUUAUUUCCACUUUCAAUUACAUGCAAAUUAAAGUGUGGAUUAAUGCAAAUUGAGGGGUGAGUUAUUCAGAAUUUUCUAGGAAAGAAGCAGUAACUUCUGGGUCAUUUCAAUGGAAAGAGGCAGUAGCUUCUGGGUCAUGGCUAUAGUAUUUGUAAACUGUCAUGGCACUAGUGGGAAUGUUUUAUGCUAAUAACCAAUGGGGGCAACUAGGGAUCACUUUUGUCUCCAUCUGCUGGUUCCUGCCAGCUUCUUCACUUCAUCCCAUUGGGGCUGGAAAAUAAGUUCUGUCCAUUUCCUACCCCAUCUGGACUUGAACUCCUAUGCUCAAGCUGGGGCUAUAGGUGCAUGGAACCACACUGAGUUUUUUAUGUUUUGAUGUAUAAUUCUAGUUAAUUAUUUCAUAGUGGUAUAGUAUCUCAUUUUACUGGUGUUCUACAAUUUAUUGAUUAAUUUUCCUGUGGAUGACAUUUAAGUUGUAUCAGUUAGGAAAGGCUAGGUUUUUACUGGAAUAGGAAAACAACCCCAAAAUACCAGAAAAAAAGUUUUUUUCUUGCUUAGAUAGAGUCUACUAUAGCUUAAGGAGAUGCUCAGCUCCACAGUGUACUCAGAGAUCCAAGUGAUAAAGGUUUUCUACCUGGAAAAUUGUGGCCACUGUGGCAAUGGGGAGUGAAACAGGGAAAUUAUGCUAUUCACUUCCAUCCCAUGUUUGCUGGCUAGAACCAGUCAUGUUCAGCUGAGAAAAGUAGGUUCUAUAGACUCAAAAAGGAAAAGAGAACCAGGUAUUGAUAAGCAGUAGUAAUAUUGAUUACUGUUUCUCGUUUUUACUACUGCAAACCCUGUUGAUGUCUCAUUGUGUCACGUGAAAGAAAUUACCUAGGAGUGAAAGUGCUUGGCUUAGGAAAUACGGCCUUUUCAGCUUUCUUAAGUAACACAUAAAUUGCAUUUUCAAAGAGUGCUACUGCCCUCCCACCUCGAAAGGAUGAGUCCCUGUUUCUCAUAUUUCCUUCCAAUAGUAGGUGCUGUGAGCCCUUUUUCUCCCCAUCUGAUUGGCAUCCAUGGUAUUUUGUUGUGAUUUUAAUUCACAUCAGUUUGAUUGUGGUUAAUGUUGAAUAACCUUUUGGAUUUUGGACACUCAGGGUUUGUAUUUUGUGAGUUAUCUAUUUAUGCCCUUUGCUCAUUUUUCUAUUGUCUUUUCUUAUUAAUUUUAGAAGCUGUCUACAUAUAAUGAUUACAUGCAUGACAAAUAUU